GGGUUGUGAGGUUAAGCGACUAAGCGUACACGGUGGAUGCCCUGGCAGUCAGAGGCGAUGAAGGACGUGCUAAUCUGCGAUAAGCGUCGGUAAGGUGAUAUGAACCGUUAUAACCGGCGAUUUCCGAAUGGGGAAACCCAGUGUGUUUCGACACACUAUCAUUAACUGAAUCCAUAGGUUAAUGAGGCGAACCGGGGGAACUGAAACAUCUAAGUACCCCGAGGAAAAGAAAUCAACCGAGAUUCCCCCAGUAGCGGCGAGCGAACGGGGAGGAGCCCAGAGCCUGAAUCAGUGUGUGUGUUAGUGGAAGCGUCUGGAAAGGCGCGCGAUACAGGGUGACAGCCCCGUACACAAAAAUGCACAUACUGUGAGCUCGAUGAGUAGGGCGGGACACGUGGUAUCCUGUCUGAAUAUGGGGGGACCAUCCUCCAAGGCUAAAUACUCCUGACUGACCGAUAGUGAACCAGUACCGUGAGGGAAAGGCGAAAAGAACCCCGGCGAGGGGAGUGAAAAAGAACCUGAAACCGUGUACGUACAAGCAGUGGGAGCCUCUUAAUGGGGUGACUGCGUACCUUUUGUAUAAUGGGUCAGCGACUUAUAUUCUGUAGCAAGGUUAACCGAAUAGGGGAGCCGAAGGGAAACCGAGUCUUAACUGGGCGUUAAGUUGCAGGGUAUAGACCCGAAACCCGGUGAUCUAGCCAUGGGCAGGUUGAAGGUUGGGUAACACUAACUGGAGGACCGAACCGACUAAUGUUGAAAAAUUAGCGGAUGACUUGUGGCUGGGGGUGAAAGGCCAAUCAAACCGGGAGAUAGCUGGUUCUCCCCGAAAGCUAUUUAGGUAGCGCCUCGUGAAUUCAUCUCCGGGGGUAGAGCACUGUUUCGGCAAGGGGGUCAUCCCGACUUACCAACCCGAUGCAAACUGCGAAUACCGGAGAAUGUUAUCACGGGAGACACACGGCGGGUGCUAACGUCCGUCGUGAAGAGGGAAACAACCCAGACCGCCAGCUAAGGUCCCAAAGUCAUGGUUAAGUGGGAAACGAUGUGGGAAGGCCCAGACAGCCAGGAUGUUGGCUUAGAAGCAGCCAUCAUUUAAAGAAAGCGUAAUAGCUCACUGGUCGAGUCGGCCUGCGCGGAAGAUGUAACGGGGCUAAACCAUGCACCGAAGCUGCGGCAGCGACACUAUGUGUUGUUGGGUAGGGGAGCGUUCUGUAAGCCUGUGAAGGUGUACUGUGAGGUAUGCUGGAGGUAUCAGAAGUGCGAAUGCUGACAUAAGUAACGAUAAAGCGGGUGAAAAGCCCGCUCGCCGGAAGACCAAGGGUUCCUGUCCAACGUUAAUCGGGGCAGGGUGAGUCGACCCCUAAGGCGAGGCCGAAAGGCGUAGUCGAUGGGAAACAGGUUAAUAUUCCUGUACUUGGUGUUACUGCGAAGGGGGGACGGAGAAGGCUAUGUUGGCCGGGCGACGGUUGUCCCGGUUUAAGCGUGUAGGCUGGUUUUCCAGGCAAAUCCGGAAAAUCAAGGCUGAGGCGUGAUGACGAGGCACUACGGUGCUGAAGCAACAAAUGCCCUGCUUCCAGGAAAAGCCUCUAAGCAUCAGGUAACAUCAAAUCGUACCCCAAACCGACACAGGUGGUCAGGUAGAGAAUACCAAGGCGCUUGAGAGAACUCGGGUGAAGGAACUAGGCAAAAUGGUGCCGUAACUUCGGGAGAAGGCACGCUGAUAUGUAGGUGAAGUCCCUCGCGGAUGGAGCUGAAAUCAGUCGAAGAUACCAGCUGGCUGCAACUGUUUAUUAAAAACACAGCACUGUGCAAACACGAAAGUGGACGUAUACGGUGUGACGCCUGCCCGGUGCCGGAAGGUUAAUUGAUGGGGUUAGCGGUAACGCGAAGCUCUUGAUCGAAGCCCCGGUAAACGGCGGCCGUAACUAUAACGGUCCUAAGGUAGCGAAAUUCCUUGUCGGGUAAGUUCCGACCUGCACGAAUGGCGUAAUGAUGGCCAGGCUGUCUCCACCCGAGACUCAGUGAAAUUGAACUCGCUGUGAAGAUGCAGUGUACCCGCGGCAAGACGGAAAGACCCCGUGAACCUUUACUAUAGCUUGACACUGAACAUUGAGCCUUGAUGUGUAGGAUAGGUGGGAGGCUUUGAAGUGUGGACGCCAGUCUGCAUGGAGCCGGCCUUGAAAUACCACCCUUUAAUGUUUGAUGUUCUAACGUUGGCCCCUGAUCGGGGUUGCGGACAGUGUCUGGUGGGUAGUUUGACUGGGGCGGUCUCCUCCUAAAGAGUAACGGAGGAGCACGAAGGUUGGCUAAUCCUGGUCGGACAUCAGGAGGUUAGUGCAAUGGCAUAAGCCAGCUUGACUGCGAGCGUGACGGCGCGAGCAGGUGCGAAAGCAGGUCAUAGUGAUCCGGUGGUUCUGAAUGGAAGGGCCAUCGCUCAACGGAUAAAAGGUACUCCGGGGAUAACAGGCUGAUACCGCCCAAGAGUUCAUAUCGACGGCGGUGUUUGGCACCUCGAUGUCGGCUCAUCACAUCCUGGGGCUGAAGUAGGUCCCAAGGGUAUGGCUGUUCGCCAUUUAAAGUGGUACGCGAGCUGGGUUUAGAACGUCGUGAGACAGUUCGGUCCCUAUCUGCCGUGGGCGCUGGAGAACUGAGGGGGGCUGCUCCUAGUACGAGAGGACCGGAGUGGACGCAUCACUGGUGUUCGGGUUGUCAUGCCAAUGGCACUGCCCGGUAGCUAAAUGCGGAAGAGAUAAGUGCUGAAAGCAUCUAAGCACGAAACUUGCCCCGAGAUGAGUUCUCCCUGACUC
This 2804-nucleotide ribosomal RNA is filed under the name Escherichia coli. Its description in RNAcentral is "bacterial LSU rRNA". It matches the Rfam family "Bacterial large subunit ribosomal RNA". The record is from RNAcentral. Lineage: Bacteria; Pseudomonadati; Pseudomonadota; Gammaproteobacteria; Enterobacterales; Enterobacteriaceae.